RNAcentral lists this ribosomal RNA (255 nucleotides) under uncultured bacterium. RNAcentral describes it as "partial 16S ribosomal RNA". It matches the Rfam family "Bacterial small subunit ribosomal RNA", at positions 524 to 776 of the family's 1533-position model. The record is from RNAcentral.
UACGUAGGGGGCAAGCGUUGUCCGGAUUUAUUGGGCGUAAAGAGCGUGUAGGCGGCCAAACAGGUCAGCUGUGAAAACUCGAGGCUCAACCUCGAGACGUCGGUUGAAACCGUUUGGCUAGAGUCCGGAAGAGGAGAGUGGAAUUCCCGUGAUGAGCGGUGAAAUGCGCAGAUAUCGGGAAGAACACCCGUGGCGAAGGCGGCUCUCUGGGACGGUACUGGACGCUGAGACGCGAAAGCGUGGGGAGCGAACAGG